RNAcentral lists this unclassified non-coding RNA (799 nucleotides) under Hevea brasiliensis (rubber tree). Lineage: Eukaryota; Viridiplantae; Streptophyta; Magnoliopsida; Malpighiales; Euphorbiaceae. The record is from RNAcentral.
GUUCAUUUAGCCAAAAUAUAUCUUACGAGAAUUCAGAAAUUCACAGAUGUACUAGCAAUAAAGAGUCGUAGGUACAUUAUGAUAUAAAGAUGAAAGAUAUGAACCAUGAAGAAAAAGAAACACAUCACAUGAGAAGAGGGCCCUCUUGAGGUUUGGUUUCUAAGAUGCUCCUUUGACACACAAAAUGCCACAAAUAGCACAAUAAUGACGCUCUCUCUGCAUUGAUCCUCCAUACAUAACAAACCAAACCUUCAAAUAGCAGCAAAUGGCCCUACUUAUGCCAGAGACCCAAAUUAUUCUAAUUUUUCUGGACUUCUGCAUCUUCUUUUUCUGCUUUCCUCCCCCUUCAUUGAAAAAAAAAAAUCAAAAUACAUUUUCUUCACCAUUAUUGCAUUGUCUACAGUCUCCACCAUCAUCCCGGCUUAAGCCCAAACUUGACAUGGUUGCUUGACCCACCGCCCCAAUUUCCAGUCUGACACUCGAAGACCUACCUUCUUCCAAAAUAAUGCUCGAGUUGGUUUGACCCCAUCUUUGCCAAGCACUUCCUGUGAAGGAUAAAGAUAUAGUCUGACAUUUCAAAAGCAUUCUCACGAUAUGAUAGAGCAUGGUUUUGCUUUUGGAAAUAGUAAUUUUGUGAGUGUAUUAUUGAUAUGCUUUAGUUCUCUUGUAGUCUUCUGUUUGUUGGUUUCAUGUUAAGUGAUUGAAGGGAAUAGUGAUGGGCCUUGAGGUCUCGUGAGCCUGUGGCAAUAAUUCCCCUUCUCAAAGUGAGCGAUUUGAGAGGUGCUCUUGUCAAUUUGCU